This 925-nucleotide ribosomal RNA is filed under the name uncultured bacterium. RNAcentral describes it as "bacterial SSU rRNA". It matches the Rfam family "Bacterial small subunit ribosomal RNA", at positions 8 to 905 of the family's 1533-position model. The record is from RNAcentral.
AGAGUUUGAUCCUGGCUCAGAACGAACGCUGGCGGCGUGCCUAACACAUGCAAGUCGAGCGCGAAAGGGGGGGCAACUCCCCGAGUAGAGCGGCGCACGGGUGAGUAACGCGUGGGUAAUCUACCUCCGGGCGGGGGAUAACGACUCGAAAGGGUCGCUAAUACCGCAUGAGACCACGGGGUCUUCGGAUCCUGAGGCCAAAGGUUGCAUCGGCUUGCCGAUGCUGUCACCGGGAGAUGAGCCCGCGUCCGAUUAGCUAGUUGGCGGGGUAACGGCCCACCAAGGCUCCGAUCGGUAGCUGGUCUGAGAGGAUGGCCAGCCACACUGGAACUGGAACACGGUCCAGACUCCUACGGGAGGCAGCAGUGAGGAAUAUUGCGCAAUGGGGGAAACCCUGACGCAGCAACGCCGCGUGGGUGAAGAAGGCCUUCGGGUCGUAAAGCCCUUUCGGACGGGACGAACGCUUCGCGGUGACAAGCCGCGAAGCUUGACGGUACCGUAGGAAGAAGCACCGGCUAACUCCGUGCCAGCAGCCGCGGUAAUACGGAGGGUGCGAGCGUUGUUCGGAAUUACUGGGCGUAAAGCGCGUGUAGGCGGCCCUGUAAGUCAGAUGUGAAAGCCCCCGGCUUAACCGGGGAAGUGCAUCUGAAACUGCUUGGCUUGAGUACCGGAGAGGGAGGCGGAAUUCCCAGUGUAGAGGUGAAAUUCGUAGAUAUUGGGAGGAACACCGGUGGCGAAAGCGGCCUCCUGGACGGAUACUGACGCUGAGACGCGAAAGCGUGGGGAGCAAACAGGAUUAGAUACCCUGGUAGUCCACGCUGUAAACGAUGGGCACUAGGUGUGGGGGGUAUCCACUCCUCCCGUGCCGCAGCUAACGCAUUAAGUGCCCCGCCUGGGGAGUACGGCCGCAAGGCUAAAACUCAAA